UAUGGCCACAUCAUCUUGAAGCCCCAGUUCCCAUAUGAUCACCAAAGUUAAGCAAUAUCAAGCCUGAUCAGUAUCUAGAUAGGUGACUGCUUGGAAAUAUCAGGUGCUGUAAG
Molecule: non-coding RNA, 113 nt
Organism: Acanthosepion pharaonis
Lineage: Eukaryota; Metazoa; Mollusca; Cephalopoda; Sepiida; Sepiidae
Source: the annotation of a GenBank genome assembly